CAAAGUUAGCCUUGAGCUCCGCCGCAGUGAGGGUAAAUGCCGGGAGGUUUGGGAUAGCCUCCGACGCCAGCGACGUUCUUCCAUCGAAUCUCCCCGUGGGUAAUUGAUAAUAGAGCCCACUAGUCUGCUCCACAGUAGAAUUUAAAGUUUUAACCGAGGAGUUCUUGCAAAACUUACCAGGAAGAAAGAGUCCCGAGCCGAGAGGGCGAGGACAUCUGCGCACGACACAACGUUUCCACACACGGCGGUGAUGGCGUCCUUGGCUUCGUCGAUGAUCUCGAAUCCUCGGACGGAGCCUUUGUUGGGGAGGGCUUCCUUCUCCACAACUUGGCCACCGGGUGUAACGUCCAGCAACAACGAUCCAUCACACCCCUGUCAAAGAACAGUCAUAUAACGUCAUUUAGCUAGAACGUUGUCGGUGCCAAACAAUUGAGUGACGAUCCAAAGAAAUAAACAUUGAUGAUCCAAAGAUCCGAGCCAAGAAGAACUUUACCCUCACAAAACAAUCGUGGAAAUGCAGCCGGAUGAGCGCCGCUGGGACGGUCCGGUUUUGCAAGAAGUGCUUAAAGACGGUGGCCGAGACGAUCGCUUC
RNAcentral lists this long non-coding RNA (592 nucleotides) under Selaginella moellendorffii. Its description in RNAcentral is "long non-coding RNA (SMOE_LNC001868)". The record is from RNAcentral. Lineage: Eukaryota; Viridiplantae; Streptophyta; Lycopodiopsida; Selaginellales; Selaginellaceae.